UACGUAGGGGGCAAGCGUUAUCCGGAUUUACUGGGUGUAAAGGGAGCGUAGGCGGCAUGGCAAGUCAGAUGUGAAAGCCCGGGGCUCAACCCCGGGACUGCAUUUGAAACUGUCAGGCUGGAGUGCAGGAGAGGUAAGCGGAAUUCCUAGUGUAGCGGUGAAAUGCGUAGAUAUUAGGAGGAACACCAGUGGCGAAGGCGGCUUACUGGACUGCAACUGACGUUGAGGCUCGAAAGCGUGGGGAGCAAACAGG
RNAcentral lists this ribosomal RNA (253 nucleotides) under uncultured bacterium. RNAcentral's name for it is "partial 16S ribosomal RNA". It matches the Rfam family "Bacterial small subunit ribosomal RNA", at positions 524 to 776 of the family's 1533-position model. The record is from RNAcentral.